AACGAACGCUGGCGGCAGGCUUAACACAUGCAAGGCGAACGCCCCGCAAGGGGAGUGGCAGACGGGUGAGUAACGCGUAGGAAUCUACCCAUCUCUGCGGAAUAGCUCCGGGAAACUGGAAUUAAUACCGCAUACGCCCUACGGGGGUAAGAUUUAUCGGGGAUGGAUGAUCUCGCGUUGGAUUAGCUCGUUGGUGGGGUAAAGGCCUACCAAGGCGGCGAUCCAUAGCUGGUCUGAGAGGAUGAUCAGCUACAUUGGGACUGAGACACGGCCCAAACUCCUACCGGAGGCAACAGUUGGGCAGAUUGGACAAUGGGCCCAAGCCUGAUCCCGCCAUGCCGCGUGAGUGAUGAAGGCCUUAGGGUUGUAAAGCUCAUUCACCGGUGAAGAUAAUGACGGUAACCGGAGAAGAAGCCCCGGCUAACUUCGUGCCAGCCGCCGCGGUAA
This 447-nucleotide ribosomal RNA is filed under the name uncultured bacterium. RNAcentral describes it as "partial 16S ribosomal RNA". It matches the Rfam family "Bacterial small subunit ribosomal RNA", at positions 29 to 523 of the family's 1533-position model. The record is from RNAcentral.